This 268-nucleotide unclassified non-coding RNA is filed under the name Hevea brasiliensis (rubber tree). The record is from RNAcentral. Lineage: Eukaryota; Viridiplantae; Streptophyta; Magnoliopsida; Malpighiales; Euphorbiaceae.
GUUUCGGAUGAGGCGGGAGAAUAUGCCAAAAGUGUUGAUUUGGGAGAUGAUGGAAGAGAUGUGUGGAUUUUUGAUGUUGACGAAACUUUGCUUUCGAAUCUUCCUUAUUAUUCUGAUCAUCGUUAUGGAUUGGAGGUAUUUGAUGAUGUGGAAUUUGAUAAAUGGGUUGAGAAGGGAACGGCGCCAGCCUUGGGGUCCAGCUUGAAGCUUUAUCAAGAAGUUCUGAAGCUGGGAUUCAAAGUUUUCUUGCUGACUGGGCGCAGUGAAA